Molecule: ribosomal RNA, 468 nt
Filed under: uncultured bacterium
Lineage: Bacteria
Description: partial 16S ribosomal RNA
Rfam family: Bacterial small subunit ribosomal RNA
Source: RNAcentral
GACGAACGCUGGCGGCGUGCUUAACACAUGCAAGUCGAACGGAAAGGCCCUGCUUUCGUGGGGUGCUCGAGUGGCGAACGGGUGAGUAACACGUGAGUAACCUGCCCUUGACUUUGGGAUAACUUCAGGCAACUGGGGCUAAUACCGGAUAGGAGCUCCUGCUGCAUGGGGGGGGUUGGAAAGUUUCGGCGGUGGGGGAUGGACGCGGGGCUUAUCAGCUUGUUGGUGGGGUAGUGGCUUACCAAGCCUUUGAUGGGUAGCCGGCCUGGGAGGGUGGACGGCCACAUUGGGACUGAGGUACGGACCAGACUCCAACGGGAGGCAGUAGUGGAGAAUAUUGCACAAUGGGCGGAAGCCUGAUGCAGCAACGCCGCGUGCGGGAUGACGGCCUUCGGGUGGUAAACCGCUGUCGCCUGUGACGAAGCGUGAGUGACGGUAAUGGGUAAAGAAGCACCGGCUAACUACGUG